GGUAGAUGCUGUGCAAAGUGUUGUGCAAGCGUUAGUGUUGGAUGAGGGUCAUCUAGCCCUCACCCUAUGCAGAGGCGCUUCCGCUGCGCUGCUUACAAGAAGCAAAAUGAGGAUUGGAGAGCUCCACUCAUCAUCUCAAGGUGACAGAGCUGGUUGUCAAAUCAAAGUCUUCUGAAAUUAAACACAAUAUCCCUAGAGUAGUCUUCUGGAGUGAGAGUGCCUGGGCUCAACGUGUCUUGGAGCUGAGUCUGCAUCUGUGAAACGGGAGCACCAACCUCCUAGCGCCCUCAUCAGGUGUAAGGUAGACAACAGGAGUGCACACAGAACCUGGCUGAGAGUACAUUCAAUAAAGAUGAUAAAGGGCAAGCUGGCUGUAUGCCCAGCUCAUUCUGAGGGGUGGAAGACACCGAGCAUGUGAAAACAUCAUGGCAG
Molecule: long non-coding RNA, 432 nt
Filed under: Homo sapiens (human)
Lineage: Eukaryota; Metazoa; Chordata; Mammalia; Primates; Hominidae
Description: HSALNT0133980
Source: RNAcentral